GUGAAUCAUCGAAUUUUUGAACGCAUAUUGCACUCUCUGGUAUUCCGGAGAGUAUGCCUGUUUGAGGGUAAUUAAAAAGAAUAAUCACCAAUUUUUUUGGUCAAAGGACAUGAGUUCUCCGCGCUUAUAGCGGUAGCUCGAAAUAAAUGGUAGUCUCAUUUUAGUCGAGACGCGUAAUAAUAUUAUUUCGCGAAAUCUUUAUUAUGUGACUAUCACGUUUUGUUGCAUACAUUUUUGGUUUGUAUGCGAUCAAUACAAAUAUUUUUGAACAUUAUCUCUAAUCAGGUAGGAAUACC
This 296-nucleotide unclassified non-coding RNA is filed under the name Ambisporaceae sp. Its description in RNAcentral is "partial contains 5.8S ribosomal RNA and internal transcribed spacer 2". The stretch from base 1 to 71 matches the Rfam family "5.8S ribosomal RNA", at positions 84 to 154 of the family's 154-position model. Lineage: Eukaryota; Fungi; Glomeromycota; Glomeromycetes; Archaeosporales; Ambisporaceae. The record is from RNAcentral.